Molecule: long non-coding RNA, 5498 nt
Organism: Mya arenaria
Lineage: Eukaryota; Metazoa; Mollusca; Bivalvia; Myida; Myidae
Exons: 7
Source: RefSeq, a predicted model, not a curated record
AAAAAAAUGGCCGAGGAGUUCCGAAUGCUGUGCUGAUGGUCAGGUCUUCACCGAUAACAAUGAACUGUAGUGUGGGGAUGUACAUUGUACUCCAAAUCCUUCUAGUGUGAGCUAUGUCCAGUGGGUCAUGCUGAUAGUUAAAGUCAGACCUUAUGUACACCGUGUGAACCUGGCCUUACCACCAGAGGAGGGGCUACCAGCCAAAAAGACUGCGAAUUUGCUUGAAGUAUACAUGGGUUUGAGCUCUCCCUGGAUGGAAACUCUGUGCCAUCUUCCCUGGGAGCAUACAAGUUAGAGAGAGUUUAUCUGUCAACCAUGUCCCUGUGGUUAUACCACACUCACUACAGGGGCCUCUAGCAGGAACAAGCGUAUACUGGACCCAGAAGCAGCACAAUGUGAGAGAUGAGGUUUAUCCUCACAGCGUUUAGAGGCAGAAAAUGGGUUCCAGUGGCAGUGUGAGGAAGGAUUUACACUCAAUUGGAACUCCUGCUCACCUUUCGUUGCUGUUUGGGACAUAAAAGUUAAGCCAGCAGCCGUCUACCAGACUGCAAGAUUCUUCUCUUCAUAAAGGAUGUCAUUUCCAGAUACACUGUGUUGGGUGUGGGCAAAAAUGCAGAGUGGUACCACAAGUCACCUAAGCCACCAUUCCCCUCACAGGCAUAAGGCUCAUGGGGAUGGUUCCAGCAAAGCUCACAAUUGUAGCCCUACAAACUUCAGGUAGGCGAUUAAACUGAGCUUCAAGAUAUCUAUGCACUUCGCUAUAAGUUCACACUUAGUUUGAGUGAAACUCACAAUUUCAGCAUCAAAAUCCAGGUUAAGAUCCCAGCCUUGAGCCUUGUCACCUUCAAAAAUUUUAAGUUAAGAUGUUCUAUAAGCUACAAACGUGUUCCCUACUUCCAGCCAUGUGGAAUCUACAUUUCUAGCUGAACUUUGGUCGGAACUAAUAUCAGACUCCCUUGCAGCACAGUGAACUUUUGCGUAUUUAUUUCCAGGCUGGUAUACUCCACCAGACUUCCGGCAUUUAAUAUUUUCUUUCAUCAUUUUUAGCUCACCUGAGCAUGAAGUGCUCAAGGUGAGCUUUUGUUAUCGCACUGUGCCCGUCGUCGUCCGUCAUCAACAAUUUGAUUUUAACACUCUAGAGGUCACAAUUUGGGCACAAUCUUAAUAAAACUUGGUCAGAAUGUUACCCUGAAUUUAAUCUUGGACAAGUUUGAUAUUGGGUCAUCUGGGGUUAAAAACUAGGUCACCAGGUCAAAUAAUAGGAAAAGCUUGUUAACACUUUAGUGGCACAUUUAUGACUGUAUUUCAGAAAACUUAGUCAGAAUGUAAAUAUUAAUAAUCUCUAGAACAAGUUCGAAUCUGGGUCAUGUGCUGUCAAAAACUAGGUCACAAGGUCAAAUUGAAGGAAAAGCUUGUUAACACUCCAGAGGUCAUAUUUAUGACUGUAUGUUCAUGAAACUUAGUCAGAAUGUUUAUAUUGGUUAGCUCUAGACCAAGUUCAAAUCUGGAUCAGGUGAGCGAUACAGGGCCUUCAGGUCCCUCUUGUUAAGAAAAGUACCUCAAGUCCUUCAAUGAAAUCAAAACUAUGACUAGACUAGACAGUAGACUAGAUAUUAAUUAAGGAACCAUAAUGUGUAGUAAGCCUUUUGGGUGCUUUAAAAUCAGAUAAGUAAACAGGACUCUCAUGGUUUAUAAGAGACCUUAUGUGGACCUUACAUUCUUUACUUGGGUAAGAGCAGAUUAAAUAUGUAAGAAGGAGGAUACAGAUGAGAGAGUAAACAGUGUUUUUUAAGGACCUCUUUUUUGGGUGGAUGGUUUCAGAGAUGCGGCCAUGACUGUGGCACAUGGACAUUAUAGAUAGAGACAGUAAGGAAAUGGUGAUAGCAGAAAACGAAACUAUCUUAAUAUGGUUUUCUGGUGUUAAAUCAACAAAGUGUUCAUAAUAUGUGGAAAAAUAAUCUCAUAGCUGAAAUCUAUUUUGCAAAUUCAUAAUAAAGUGGUGAUUUUACAUAGAAUAAGAAGGGCAAUUUCGUUGUUUGCCAUCACCUCUUGUGGCAGCAGUUAGUGCAGUGUUCUAGGGAUCAUCAUCUUUGCUGCCAUUGUCUUUGUUUGUUUUUGCAGGUGAAAUUCUCGUUCACAUUACAACUUGUAAAAGCAUGCUUAUGUUGUAAAUUAUUACUAAAGGGCCAAAAUUUAAACUCAUUAUUAGCAUGUUUUCGUUUGGUUUCAUUUCUAUUUUAUCGUGAAUUUCAAAAUGAUCCCUCAUACUUUAAUGUUCUUGCCUUUUAUAGGCACACGGGCAACUGUCAUAACAAGGCUCCAAAUAACAUCAACUUGUACCUCUGGGAUCUUUGCUUGAGUUUUUGGGCGUUUGCCAACAGCCCUUUGGCAACUGGCUGAUCGGAGAGGAUUAUAGUGUUGGUAGUUGUAAUGGUAAUAGGUUCUUCUGAUGUAUGAUCACCAACAUAAGAUACUUUUAAACAGUGUUUUUGUAUUAAGCUCACCCACAGUGACUUUUAUGAUAACAUUGAUUGUAGUAUGAUUUGGAUAAAUUCAUUGUGUCAAAGUAUUCAUUAUGCCAUUUUUCAUGUGUUACAAAGUUCAAUCUAAUUAAUGACUUUAAUUGAAUUGCCAAGUGCCACAAAUUUAAUUAGAUUUUUUACAUGAUGUUUAUUUAUUGUAUGUCACUAUGUGUUGAUUCUGUAUACUUGUAUAAUUUGUAUUAUGUACUUGACUUUUUUAUGACCAAUAUGCAGAUAACUAUAUGGAUGUUUUGUUGACUAUUAUAUAAUAUAAAAUGAAAAAUGAUGACCUUUUAAAAAAUCUCACGAAGAUGUUAGCAAACAAAUAUGUUGAAUGAUCAUGUUGCCAUCACUUAAUUAUGUUGUAUGAUCAUGUUACCAUAUCCUAUAUUACAUUAAUUGACUUGGUACUUGUUAAUAAAAUUGUGUUCAUGUUCUAGAAACUUCAUAGUUUUAAAAUGUUUAAUUCUGAAUCUAUGUAUUCAUACAUACAAUAAUGUUGUAUGAUGUUUUCAUCACAAAUAUGUUGUAUGAUUAUAUUUCCAUUACAAAUAUGUGCUAUGAUCAUGUUUCCAUCUCAAAUGUAUGAUCAUGUUGCCAUCACAAAUAUGUUCUAUGAUCAUGUUUCCAUCUCAAAUGUAUGAUCAUGUUGCCAUCACAAAUACGUUCUAUGAUCAUGUUUCCAUCUCAAAUGUAUGAUCAUGUUGCCAUCACAAAUAUGUUCUAUGAUCAUGUUUCCAGCAAAAAUAUGUUCUAUGAUCAUGUUUCCAGCAAAAGUAUGUGCUAUGAUCAUGUUUCCAUCACAAAUAUGUUCUAUGAUCAUGUUUCCAGCAAAAAUAUGUGCUAUGAUCAUGUUUCCAUCAAAAGUAUGUGCUAUGAUCAUGUUUCCAUCACAAAUAUGUUCUAUGAUCAUGUUUCCAGCAAAAAUAUGUGCUAUGAUCAUGUUUCCAUCACAAAUAUGUUGUAUGAUUAUGUUGGCAUAACCUAUAUUAUAUUCUAUGACAUUAUAUAUUUCAUAUAUUGUGUUAAUGAUCUAGAAAUGUCUUAGUUCUUGAUUAUUUACUUUGAUAGGUCUUAUGAUUUCAGGGAAAUCAUUUACAUGUGUUUAAUAAUGUUGUCUCUAAUCUGUAGUCACAGUAAGGGGAGUAACUCUUUUAGUCUUAUUGUCCACUUGAGUAAUCAAGUGGACUGAAUUGUCGUUCUUGUUGGUGACUCUUGUGUAAAUCUAGUCUUAUUGUUUGUGAUAUAUAUGGUGCAUAAUAUGAGUAAUAUGUUUAUUAUUUGGGUGAAGAGUACUAUACAGGGAUAUGGCAUAUUAUUGUAAAAGAGUUACAUAAUAAAAUGUUCUAAGUGACGAAGGUUUUGUGAUUUCUAUCACUUAAAUUAUUGCAUAAUUCCCAGUAAUUGUUUCAACACAUUGAAUGUUUGUUGUAGGCUUAUUGUGUUUGCAUGAUGCACAAAGUAGAUGGUCAAUUUGCAUUUACACAUAUUUAAUGCUGCAAUUAGCUCUUUUUUUCAGUUACUCGUGUUCACAUAUUGUUUGUUUUCCAAUGCAAUAAAUAUAUUCAUUUGAUAUUAAGUUUAUCUUGUGCAAUGUCAAUCGUUUUAUGACAUAACUGUGUUUAUCUGUUUCCAAAAUAAUUGUCAUGUUACAGAAAAGUAAUUUUGUAAUUUCAAACUUGAUUUCAUGAUAAUAGUAUUGUAUAUAAAAGUAAUAUUGAUAUUUUGAAUUUUAAUUCAAAGCAACCCAUUAAUGGUUAUUUUUAAAUAGAGUUUGAUUUUUUAUAAAUGAUCAUGUACAGCUAGCGAUGUGACGAUGAUCAAUUAUUAUCGACAAUUGAUCAGAAAGAUCUACAUCAGCGACACUUGAUAGUGAAAUUUAAACAAUCAAAUAUAGAAUCAAGGGACAUAACUGCUAUCGACUACCAGUCAAAACUGUGUCAUGAAAAUAUGUUUUGUUUCUGGUUAAUGCUAGUAAAUGUUGAAAUGUAACUUUAGGUGUUUCUAUGUUAAGUUAUCUAGUCAUAUUCUUAUCAAGUCAGUAAGUUACUACAUUACCUUAGUACAAAUGUUCUUUGUAAUAUAACUGUUAAAGGAUUGGUUCUCAUCUGCUCAUGUUUGUGGUUUAAAAGUGAUUUUUAGCUCUACUGGCCAAAGGCCACAAGUGCUUAUGCGAUGGUAAUGUAUACGUAGUAUGUGCCUCCGUGCAUUUGUAAACAAUCCUCGUUAACACGAUACAGCCUUCAGUUUUGAUUGUAUCUUGAUGAAACUUGUACAGUAUCUACAUAUCCAGUAGAGCUCGGUUCCUUUCGAAAACCAGAUCUGCCCAUGUAUGCCUAGAUUAUGGGCCUUGAUAGUAUAAUAAAAUCAGUGUGUCAGUAAACAAUUGCUCGUUAACACGAUACAGUCUUCAGUUUUGAUUGUAUCUUGAUGAAACUUGUACAGUAUUUUGAUAUCCAUUAGAGCUCCGUUCAAAAACCAGCUAGAUCUGCCCAUGCAUGCCUGGAUUAUGGGCCUUGAAAAUAUUAGAUUAUGGGCCUUGAUAGUAUAAAAAAAUGCUAUUGUGUAAUAAAUGCUUGCGAACAUGAUACAGUCUUCAGUUUUGAGUAUUCAGAUACCCAUGACGGGUUGGUUCUUUUCGAAAACAGUGAUGUUGACCACACAAACCCAGCCAGUAGAGCAUGGCCCUUUUGGGCCUCUUGUUUUAAAACAUGUUACCGAUUACAUUUUACUACAUGUAUAUAAGAAUUUAGUUUUCUCAGUCUCCUGAAAAAAAAUGUUCUUGUAAAAUUUAAAACUUAAAAAUAUUCAACUGCUUGUUGUACUUGUUUCUGACUGAUUAUCAAAAAGAAAUUGAUAUCUUUUUUGUGUUUAUUUUACUUAUGUAUACAACACUAAAUGUAAGACAUUACGUUUGUUAACUUAACCUAUUUAAACCAUUUCAAAAACAAAUAAAGGGUUAUAGCAAAUGUGUUU